RNAcentral lists this transfer RNA (73 nucleotides) under Cricetulus griseus (Chinese hamster). It matches the Rfam family "tRNA". From Rfam's summary of the family: Transfer RNA (tRNA) molecules are approximately 80 nucleotides in length. Lineage: Eukaryota; Metazoa; Chordata; Mammalia; Rodentia; Cricetidae. The record is from Rfam by way of RNAcentral.
GGAGAGGUAGCUCAGAGGUUAAGAGCACUGGCUGCUCUUCCAGAGGACUAGGGUUCAACUCCCAGCACCUCCA